CCGUAACUAUAACGGUCCUAAGGUAGCGAAAUUCCUUGUCGGGUAAGUUCCGACCUGCACGAAUGGCGUAAUGAUGGCCAGGCUGUCUCCACCCGAGACUCAGUGAAAUUGAACUCGCUGUGAAGAUGCAGUGUACCCGCGGCAAGACGGAAAGACCCCGUGAACCUUUACUAUAGCUUGACACUGAACAUUGAGCCUUGAUGUGUAGGAUAGGUGGGAGGCUUUGAAGUGUGGACGCCAGUCUGCAUGGAGCCGACCUUGAAAUACCACCCUUUAAUGUUUGAUGUUCUAACGUGGACCCGUAAUCCGGGUUGCGGACAGUGUCUGGUGGGUAGUUUGACUGGGGCGGUCUCCUCCUAAAGAGUAACGGAGGAGCACGAAGGUUGGCUAAUCCUGGUCGGACAUCAGGAGGUUAGUGCAAUGGCAUAAGCCAGCUUGACUGCGAGCGUGACGGCGCGAGCAGGUGCGAAAGCAGGUCAUAGUGAUCCGGUGGUUCUGAAUGGAAGGGCCAUCGCUCAACGGAUAAAAGGUACUCCGGGGAUAACAGGCUGAUACCGCCCAAGAGUUCAUAUCGACGGCGGUGUUUGGCACCUCGAUGUCGGCUCAUCACAUCCUGGGGCUGAAGUAGGUCCCAAGGGUAUGGCUGUUCGCCAUUUAAAGUGGUACGCGAGCUGGGUUUAGAACGUCGUGAGACAGUUCGGUCCCUAUCUGCCGUGGGCGCUGGAGAACUGAGGGGGGCUGCUCCUAGUACGAGAGGACCGGAGUGGACGCAUCACUGGUGUUCGGGUUGUCAUGCCAAUGGCACUGCCCGGUAGCUAAAUGCGGAAGAGAUAAGUGCUGAAAGCAUCUAAGCACGAAACUUGCCCCGA
This 869-nucleotide ribosomal RNA is filed under the name Salmonella enterica. RNAcentral's name for it is "partial 23S ribosomal RNA". It matches the Rfam family "Bacterial large subunit ribosomal RNA", at positions 1934 to 2802 of the family's 2925-position model. The record is from RNAcentral. RNAcentral also lists the same sequence under 1 other name. Lineage: Bacteria; Pseudomonadati; Pseudomonadota; Gammaproteobacteria; Enterobacterales; Enterobacteriaceae.